This 404-nucleotide ribosomal RNA is filed under the name uncultured bacterium. RNAcentral describes it as "bacterial SSU rRNA". It matches the Rfam family "Bacterial small subunit ribosomal RNA", at positions 355 to 776 of the family's 1533-position model. The record is from RNAcentral.
UGGGGAAUAUUGGACAAUGGGGGAAACCCUUAUCCAGCGACGCCGCGUGAGGGAAGAAGGUUUUCGGAUUGUAAACCUCUGUCAGCGGGGACGAUAAUGACGGUACCCGCGGAGGAAGCCACGGCUAACUACGUGCCAGCAGCCGCGGUAAUACGUAGGUGGCAAGCGUUGUCCGGAAUUACUGGGUGUAAAGGGAGCGUAGGCGGGGUUUCAAGUCAGAAGUGAAAAUUAUGGGCUCAACUCAUAACCUGCUUUUGAAACUGAAACUCUUGAGUGAAGUAGAGGCAAGCGGAAUUCCUAGUGUAGCGGUGAAAUGCGUAGAUAUUAGGAGGAACACCAGUGGCGAAGGCGGCUUGCUGGGCUUUUACUGACGCUGAGGCUCGAAAGCGUGGGGAGCAAACAGG